AUGGCUACAAGGGAUGAGCAGCGGCAGCAUCCCCUACCCCUGCACAUCCUCUUCCUCCUGUUCUUCGCCCCCGGGCACCUCAUUCCGGUCGUCGACAUGACCGCGAUAUUCUCCACUCACGGCGCCAGGUGCACCAUCCUCGCCACGCCCGUCAACGCCGACAUCAUCCGUCCGGCCGUCGACUGCGCCAACGACUCCAACUGCCACGGCACCGACUCCCCUUCCCCUGCAGUCGACAUCUCCGUCAUGCCUUUCCCCGACGUCGGGCUCCCGCCAGGCAUGGAGAACCUCAUGUCCCUUACUCCAGCCCACGGAGCCGAGUACCCGCUCAAGUUCAUCCAGGCCGUGCAGCUGCUCCGCUUGCCCUUCGACCGGUUCAUGGCUGCCAACCGCCCCGACGCCGUCGUGUCCGACAGCUUCAGCUGGUCCACAGACGCCGCCGCGGAGCACGACGUCCCGCGCCUCGUGUUCCUCGGCAGCAGCGUGUUCGCGCGGUGCUGCAGCGAGACCAUGCUGCGCAACAACCCGCUGGAGACGACCACUUCCCCGGACGACGAUCCCGAUGACGACGCCCGGCUCGUCUCUCUGCCGGGGCUGCAGCACCGCGUCCAGCUGAGGCGGAGCCAGAUGAUGGAUCCGAGGAAGCGGCCGGCGAUGUGGGCAUUGAGCUUCGGCGAGGUGUUCAACAGCUUCCACGAGCUGGAGCCGGACUACGUCGAGCACUUCCGCACGACGCUCGGCCGUCGUGCGUGGCUCGUGGGGCCGGUCGCGCUCGCCAGCAAAGACAUGGCUAAGAGAGGCAGUGCCGACAACACUAAGGCACACAUCACCGACGGCUGCCUGCGGUGGCUAGACACGAAGCCGGCCGGCUCGGUGGUGUAUGUCUCCUUCGGCACGUUCACCAGUUUCUCGCCGGCCGAGCUGCGCGAGCUCGCCCGCUGCCUCAACCUCUCCGGCAAGGACUUCGUGUGGGUCAUCAGCUCCGACACAGGCUGA
RNAcentral lists this ribosomal RNA (996 nucleotides) under Triticum aestivum (bread wheat). RNAcentral describes it as "partial small subunit ribosomal RNA". The record is from RNAcentral. Lineage: Eukaryota; Viridiplantae; Streptophyta; Magnoliopsida; Poales; Poaceae.